GUAGAGAUCACUAUUUUGUUCUAAACAAUUUGCUCUUGGCUCAUAGUCAUGCCAUGGAUUCAUGUUAACCACCACCUCCACCUGUUCAGCUUUUCACCGCCGCAGCACCACCCUUCCCACCUGUAAACCCAGAAACCAUUCACAACAAUACAAUCACCAUAAUUAUCAGCCACUCUUAUUAUCUUUGAAGGGUGCAAAAAGAUUGAAAGUCUGUCAGACCACCACCUGACCAUCCCAGCCGAGCAUACCCAACUGAGAACGAUCCUCUACUGCCCCGAUGACCCUGAACUAGGGCCAGGGUGCUGUUAAUCACGCUCUAGUCAGGUGGACAUACAUCCUCAGUCAGACUUGGUUUCUUGUCUCCUUAGAAUUCAAGGAUACAGAGGUACGAGCCUAUAGAACAGAUCCUGUUCAAGUAAGAUAUGCGUGAAGGUGUUUGGUGAAAUGCCUUACAGGGACUUGGUGUCUUGGACUGAUGAUUUCGGGGUAUGUUGGGUGAAAAGAAUGAUGGUGGCGCUUCUCGAUCGUUAAGUGAAAUGCAGAAAGAGGUUGAACACAAUUGUAAUGAUACGGAUAUGCUGAAGUUUUGUCGUGGGUACUUGAUCAAAAGUGGUUUCUCGAUUGAUCAAUUGGUGAAAGAUUCAAUCUUGUAAAUGUAUACUAACGUUGGUAGACCGGUAGUGUUGAUGAUGAGAAAACUCUUUUCGAAAAAAUUAAUAAAUUUGAUGUUGUUUCUUGGAAUAUAGCGAUAUCCUUGCAUUCUU
Olea europaea var. sylvestris is the source of this 764-nucleotide long non-coding RNA. RefSeq lists it as uncharacterized. The record is from RefSeq and is a predicted model, not a curated record. Lineage: Eukaryota; Viridiplantae; Streptophyta; Magnoliopsida; Lamiales; Oleaceae. The transcript has 2 exons.